This 824-nucleotide ribosomal RNA is filed under the name Salmonella enterica. RNAcentral's name for it is "bacterial LSU rRNA". It matches the Rfam family "Bacterial large subunit ribosomal RNA", at positions 388 to 1208 of the family's 2925-position model. The record is from RNAcentral. Lineage: Bacteria; Pseudomonadati; Pseudomonadota; Gammaproteobacteria; Enterobacterales; Enterobacteriaceae.
AAAUGCAGCAUAGCGGUAUCCUGAGUAACGCGGGACACGAGGAAUCCUGCGCGAAUCUGCCGGGACCAUCCGGUAAGGCUAAAUACUCCCGUGAGACCGAUAGCGAACGAGUACUGUGAAGGAAAGGUGAAAAGAACCCCGAGCAGGGGAGUGAAAUAGUUCCUGAAACCAUACGCCUACAAGCGGUCGGAGCAUCUUACGAUGUGACGGCGUGCCUUUUGCAUAAUGAUCCUACGAGUUACCGUCACUGGCGAGGUUGAGUGUCACGAGACACGUAGCCGCAGUGAAAGCGAGCCUGAACAGGGCGCAUAGUCAGUGGGGGUAGACGCGAAACCAAGUGAUCUACACUUGGCCAGGAUGAAGUCCCGGUAACACGGGAUGGAGGUCCGCACCAAUAAGCGUUGAAAAGCUUCUGGAUGAGCCGAGUGUAGGAGUGAAAGGCCAAUCAAACUUGGAGAUAGCUCGUACUCCCCGAAAGGCAUUUAGGUGCCGCGUCGGAUGGUCACCGUGAGAGGUAGAGCGACCGAUAGGACAAGAGGGCUUCACCGCCUAUCGAGUCCUGACGAACUCCGAAUGCUCACGGUCUGCAGUCCGGCAGUAAGGGGGCGGGUGCUAAGGUCCGUCCCCGAGAGGAGAAGAAUCCAGACCGCCGUCUAAGGUCCCGGAGUUCUGCCUGAGUUAGUCUAACGAAGUCUGGUCCCUAUGACAGCUAGGAUGUUGGCUUGGAAGCAGCCAUUCAUUCAAAGAGUGCGUAACAGCUCACUAGUCGAGGGUCCGGGCAUGGAUAAUAAUCGGGUAUAAGGCAGACACCGAAGGCGCGGGAU